AGGCUAUUCCAGUCGUUCCCGGCUAUUCGGACAGGUGGAGCAAUCGUUGGUCUAGUGGCUGUUAGAGCGGGAGCAAUGAACCGCUUCCGAAGCUCGAAAUAUAAGAACACGGCACCGCGGCUUCCGGGCCGGGCGGACUGGAUCAAUGACAUUAAAUCAAACUCUGCUGCCUCCUAUGGGAAUCAUAUCAAAUCAAGCUGUGCCUUCAUCGCCUUCAAUGCACACAGCCCAGGAGGAGGGACUCUCGGAAUUCUGCCACUGGAAACUGGAAAUGGAGAUAAACCGCGGGUGUCGGAGCUUCAUUGUCAUGCAGAUCUGGUGACUGAUUUUGAUUUCUCCCCAUUUGAUGAUGAAUUGCUGGCAACAUGUUCAGCUGAUAUGACGGUAAAGCUGUGGCGACUACCUGACACUUUCCAGCAGGUGUCAUCUGCACAGAACAUCACUCUGGGACCAGAAGCUGUGAGGGUGGAAUGUGUGUCGUUUCAUCCUUCUGCAGAUGGAGUUUUAGCAAGUGGAGCUGGAAAUAUAGCCAAAAUAUGGGACGUGUCACAACAGAAAGCCAUGGCAGCUCUUGAAGAUCACGGGGAUCAAAUUCAGAGCUUGACUUGGAAGAAAGAUGGGUGCCUCCUUGGUUCAUCAAGUAAGGACAAGAAGCUACGAAUUUUCGACCCGAGAGUGACGUGCUCAGCCGUGCAGUGCGUUCAAGGCCAUGAAAACAUCAAGGAUUCCCGGUUGAUUUGGCUCAACAUAUCAGACACUCUUCUGUCAACUGGGUUUAGCCAGAUGCGUGAGCGACAGGCCAGACUGUGGGACACGCGCAAGUUUACUAGUCCUGUCAGCACCUUAAAUCUUGAUACAGCGCAAGGAUCACUGAUCCCGCUGUAUGACACGGAUUCUGGGUUGCUGAUCCUUGCUGGAAAGGGUGAUAAUGUUCUACAUUGCUUUGAAGUGUGCACUCCAGCGGCCACUUUAACCCAAGUGAAUCAAUGCCUGACAGAGUUGAAGUCCAAGGGUGUUGCAAUGGUGCCCAAACUUGCGCUGGAUGUGAUGUCAUGUGAAGUAAUUCGAGUACUGCAGCUCACUGAGAACUCCAUUGUGCCCAUCAGCUACAGAGUGCCCCGCAAGUCUCUCCAUGAAUUCCAUGAUGAUUUAUUCCCAGACACUCCUGGUAAAGUUCCUUCAAUAUCUGCGCUGGACUGGUUCAAUGGUUCCAAUAAGCAGGUACAGAAAGUUUCUUUACAUCCAGCCAAACGCACAAAGCAGAGUUUCAUCUCUAUUGCUGUGCCUAGUAUGCGGAAAUCUUCAAGAGAAUUGAGAGAACUAACUCGCAGGGGAGAAAAAGAAAUGGAAGAAGUGCCUUGGGGAACAGGAAAAUCUGUUGACAAUGGACAGACAUCGUCAUCAAGUUCCAUCAGCUCAAUGACCUCACCAUCCAACACCUCUCCAAGCAGCACCAGCUCAAAGUUCACCGAUUUUGUAACCCCUCAAAGCCAGAAAUCUCUGCACAGUAUCUUGGGCAACAAUUCAAAGUUCAGACAUGUACAAGGCACAGUGUCUCAUCGGGACACGCACAUCACUAAUCUGAAGGGAUUAAACCUGACGACACCUGGCGAGUCUGAUGGAUUCUGUGUGAAUCGUGAGCGUGUUGCAGUUCCUUUGAAGGUGUCGGGUGGGCAGAUCGCUGUGCUGGAGCUGUCGAAACCUGGGCGGCUGCCGGACAACUCCCUUCCCACCAUCCAGAACAGUGCAGCUGUCACUGACCUCAGCUGGGAUCCCUUCAAUCGCCAUCGUCUUGCUGCCGCUGGUGAAGAUGCAAAGAUCCGAAUCUGGAGAAUUCCAACUGGAGGACUCUCGGGAAUUCUUUCUGACCCUGAGCAAACCCUGUCUGGUCAUACAGAGAAAAUCUAUUCCAUCAAGUUCCACCCACUGGCAUCUGAUAUCUUGGCUUCAUCCUCCUAUGAUAUGACUGUGAGGAUCUGGGACAUCAGUUCAGGAAAAGAAGAGAUCAUACUGAAGGGACAUACAGAGCAGAUCUUCAGCCUGUCCUGGAGUCCUGAUGGGCAGCAACUGGCAACAGUCAGCAAAGAUGGCAAAGUUCGAGUGUAUGAUCCUCGACGUUCUGUAAACCCUGUGCAGGAAGGACCAGGACCUGUAGGCAGUCGGGGAGCACGGAUCUUGUGGGUAAGCGACGGACGAUAUCUGCUGAUAUCUGGCUUUGACAGCCGCAGUGAGCGACAGAUCUCCCUCCAUGAUGUGGGGUCCUUGGCACUGGGACCACUAGCAACCACUGACAUCAAUGCAGCGCCAUCCACUCUCAUUCCUUUCUAUGAUGACGAUACCAGCAUCGUCUAUCUCACAGGCAAGGGUGAUACAAGGGUCCAUAUCUACGAGAUUCAGACUGAUGCGCCAUAUUUCCUGCAGUGCAGUAGUUUCAAUUCCACUGAACCACACAAGGGACUCUGCUUUCUGCCAAAGACUGAAUGCAGUGUGAGGGAAGUGGAAAUCGCACGAGCCUUGCGUCUGGGGCACAAUUCCUUAGAGUCCAUUAUUUUUACAGUUCCGCGUGUUAAGAAAGAGUUUUUCCAGGAUGACAUUUUCCCUGAUACCACAAUGUGGUGGCAACCCGUGCUCUCCGCCUCUGCCUGGCUGGCUGGUUCCAAUGGACAGCACAAGAAGCUGAGCCUGAAGCCUGAAGACAUGGUCCCAGUGAGUGAAGCUCCUAAAGAGGUGCCAAACAGGAAAUACAAGCCCUCAGCUUUCUACCUAGAGGAGAAAACGGAUGAGGAGAAAAAGGAAGAGCUGCUAAGUGCCAUGGUGGCAAAGCUUGGGAACUUGGAUGAUCCCCUGCCUCAGGACUCAUUUGAAGGAGUGGAUGAAGAUGAAUGGGAUGACUAAAUUUCAACUAAAGACAUCUCUACAGUACUUCAUCUCCUGAUGGACCCUCCUGUUGGUGGAGCCACAGCUUCCUGCUUCAUCAAAUGUCAUUAAUCACAAGCCUGUUAAUGAGCAAGAGAGCGUAUCCAUCGCCCCACUCACUCGCAACAUUUCCCUUGCUCACUUUCGUCCAUCUCUCACUCAUUUACAGCAUCUCCCUCAUUCACUCACACCAUGACUCCCUUACCCAUUUGUAGCACGUUUCCCUUGCCCACUUGCAGAGCAAGUCUCCCUCUCAUUCACCACGUCUCCUUUGCUCACCCAUAUAACAUAUCUCCCUCCCUCACUCACUCUCCGAUCAGAUCCAACAUCACCCAUAGAAUGCCUUUCUUUCUUUCUUUAAGGAUGUCUUGCCCACUCCUGGUUCAUACUCAGCGCAUAGGAAGUGCGAGAAAGGCAUCAGUGAGUUGCAUUUGUCAGCACCCUCACUGGCAUUCCUUUCUCAAUUUUCACAUUCACAACCACAUUUCCUUCAUGCACCCCUGCCACAGACACACUUGCUCUCCCUCUCCGUCAAUGCCCCACUUCAUGCAGAGUUAUGCAAUGGGAGGACUGUGCGCAAGACUGGUGGGCACUUGAUAAUAAAUUUAAAACAAACAACUAAUUAUCACUUUGUGGAGAUGGCUGAUACAGUGUCCCAUGACUGGUUUGGAGGGGACUCUGACCCAGUCACAGUGACUUUUUACUGGUCUGGGCAAUGACCCCUGACUGAUCUGGGCAUGACUGUGUGACCUAGUUACAAUGAUGCUGUUGACCUGCAUGGGCAAUGACUCCCUGACCCCUCAUAUUGAUCCUUCCAUUGGUCUGGACACUGACACCCAGUCACAUUCUCUGUUGAGUUCUCUUAACAGGAAACCCAGCCAACAAAUCCUAAGUGUCACAUAAUCAAAAUCAUCAUUCUGGCAAAGGUGAUCAAUAACCAGUGUCAUGUUUGACAAAAGAUAUUACAUCAAAAAUUUUGAUUAUUCAAACAAUAUUUGGUGAGCAAGUAAAUAGGAUGUUAUUGAAGUUGUCAUCUGAAGCAAGCUAAAGCCUUUCAAUUUCUUGCUCGUCAAUCUAUUGUAAAUGUCCUUUUAAUUUUUUUUAUUGAAAAGUAGGCAUUGCUGGCAAGGUCAGUAUUUAUUACCUGUCCUUCACUUCCCUUGAGAUGGUAAUGGGGAGUCACCUUCUUGAAGUCCAUGUGGUAUAGGUAGAGUGCUUUUUGAGUAUACAAUAGUGUCUGCACUUCAAAGAAAUUGAUUUAAAUGUUCAAUGUUGACAUGUAAGGAUUUGCAAAGACUUUUUUCUGCUGAUUGUGUUGUAAUAUAUGCACCAUGUUGUCUAUCAUUUAUGUUUCAGUAUUAAAUGGAUACAUCGUUAAGUAUUAUACUAACUCCGAUAGAAGAUCAAGAAGGGAAAGUCUCUGAAAAGGGAAAGCUUUUUAGGUGCCUUAACUGAAUUUUCCAGUAACAGAUUGUGACUUGCUCACUAUAGUCAAAGAUUUAAUUAGACAUUGCUGAGGAAAGAAGGACCAGUGGAAUACUCUUUGGUUAAAUGUUACAGAGUAGAAAAUUCAUUUUAAUUAUUUAGAACACUCCCAGUUACAGAAAAUGGCUGAAAUGAUAUUAUUUAGGAUUAAUACAUGUUCAUAAUUAUUUAUAGCAUCUAAGAGGAGCUCCAUUUUAUAAAACACAAUCAGUUAGUCUUUUCUGAAUACAGUCAAGCAGCUAUUUGAAGGGAUGUCUAUUUUAAGAAACUAAUCUUAGGAUUAAAGGACAAAGCUCUACAUCAUAUAUAAAACAAAUCAGAUCUACAAUAGCUGGACUUGGUCCACGAAAGAUCUUAUUCUGUUCAAACCAAACAACUGGUAAUGAGACAGACUAUUUAUUAUACAGUAUUUUGAGAAAUAAAGCUAAUUGAUUAAAUCACCAGCAGAUGGCAUCUACAUCAUUUGUAGUU
Molecule: RNA transcript, 4872 nt
Organism: Rhincodon typus (whale shark)
Lineage: Eukaryota; Metazoa; Chordata; Chondrichthyes; Orectolobiformes; Rhincodontidae
Gene: coro7
Gene name: coronin 7
Exons: 29
Source: RefSeq, a predicted model, not a curated record